GUCCACGGCCACACCACCCUGAAUGCCCACGAUCUCGUCUGAUGUCGGAAGCUAAGUAGGGUCGGCCUAGGUUAGAACGUGGAUGGGAGCCCAAACAGCCACCGCACGGGGCUUUCUUCC
RNAcentral lists this ribosomal RNA (120 nucleotides) under Callithrix jacchus (white-tufted-ear marmoset). The record is from RNAcentral. Lineage: Eukaryota; Metazoa; Chordata; Mammalia; Primates; Cebidae.